AAGAAAGUAUGCAAGAACUGCUAACUCAUGCCUCCAUAUAUAACAAUGUGGCUUUCUUA
Carlito syrichta (Philippine tarsier) is the source of this 59-nucleotide non-coding RNA. Lineage: Eukaryota; Metazoa; Chordata; Mammalia; Primates; Tarsiidae. The record is from Ensembl.